This 429-nucleotide ribosomal RNA is filed under the name Chloroflexota bacterium. RNAcentral's name for it is "Chloroflexi bacterium partial 16S ribosomal RNA". It matches the Rfam family "Bacterial small subunit ribosomal RNA", at positions 355 to 776 of the family's 1533-position model. The record is from RNAcentral. Lineage: Bacteria; Bacillati; Chloroflexota.
UGGGGAAUAUUGCACAUUGGGCGCAAGCCUGAUGCAGCCAUGCCGCGUGUGUGAAGAAGGCCUUCGGGUUGUAAAGCACUUUCAGCGGGGAGGAAGGCGAUAAGGUUAAUAACCUUGUCGAUUGACGUUACCCGCAGAAGAAGCACCGGCUAACUCCGUGCCAGCAGCCGCGGUAAUACGGAGGGUGCAAGCGUUAAUCGGAAUUACUGGGCGUAAAGCGCACGCAGGCGGUCUGUCAAGUCGGAUGUGAAAUCCCCGGGCUCAACCUGGGAACGGCAUUCGAAACUGGCAGGCUAGAGUCUGGUAGAGGGGGGUAGAAUUCCAGGUGUAGCGGUGAAAUGCGUAGAGAUGUGGAGGAAUACCGGUGGCGAAGGCGGCCCCCUGGACAAAGACUGACGCUCAGGUGCGAAAGCGUGGGGAGCAAACAGG